AUUGAACGCUGGCGGCAUGCCUUACACAUGCAAGUCGAACGGUAACGGGUCCUUCGGGAUGCCGACGAGUGGCGAACGGGUGAGUAAUAUAUCGGAACGUGCCCAGUAGUGGGGGAUAACUGCUCGAAAGAGCAGCUAAUACCGCAUACGACCUGAGGGUGAAAGGGGGGGAUCGCAAGACCUCUCGCUAUUGGAGCGGCCGAUAUCAGAUUAGCUAGCUGGUGGGGUAAAGGCCUACCAAGGCAACGAGCUGGAGUUGGUCUGAGAGGACGACCAGCCACACUGGGACUGAGACCCGGCGCAGACUCCGACGGGGGGCAGCAGUGGGGAAUGUUGGACAAUGGGCGCAAGCCUGAUCCAGCAAUGCCGCGUGCAGGAAGAAGGCCUUCGGGUUGUAAACUGCUUUUGUCAGGGAAGAAAUCUUCUGGGCUAAUACCCCGGGAGGAUGACGGUACCUGAAGAAUAAGCACCGGCUAACUACGUGCCAGCCGCCGCCGUAA
RNAcentral lists this ribosomal RNA (500 nucleotides) under uncultured bacterium. RNAcentral describes it as "partial 16S ribosomal RNA". It matches the Rfam family "Bacterial small subunit ribosomal RNA", at positions 29 to 523 of the family's 1533-position model. The record is from RNAcentral.